CAUUAACAUAUUUGCAUGAGUGAUGGGGGAAGACACAGGUUGUAUUAUUAUACACUAAAACUAAAAUUUUCUGUACUCAUUAAGAACAAUAAAUAAUGCAUAGAAAAACCCCUAUUUUGUUGAAAAAAAGGACUGCCAAAAUCUACUUUUAAAUGAAAAAAGCAGAAUACAAAAGAUUCUGACAAAGUGGACGCACGCGUUCAGACCUGCUGUCCUCACGAAUUUAACUCCACCAUGGAGUUCUGGGGACGUGUCUUUACAAUUUGGUUUUGGCGAGGCAGCAUGCCGGACCUGAUCCCCAACCAGCGAUAGAACCUGAACCCCCUGCAGUGGCAAUGCCCAUCCCUCAUCAUUGGACUGCGAGGGACGUCCCAAAGGGAAGUAUAUUUAAAUCAUUAGCAGGAACUCCUGACCCUUCAAGUCGAGCUCAGGGUAAAACAGUCUACAUUCUGGGACGGAACGGCAGCAGGUUUGUCACCGUGCGGGGACACCCAGACGGUGUCCAGUCUGGGGACACCUCUUAGCAGUUUUACCCCCUCAGCCCUGCGAGACAGAGAAAGGCUUCACCUCGACCCUGAAGGUUUUGAGGGAGCAGGGGCCCCCUUCACACUCGGACUGGGCUCAGGUUUUCACCCCUUUGAGGAAAGUCUCAGGACCGGCCCCACAAUCACAUGAUGUCAUGGAUAAGGGACUUUGUUUGACCGUGUCCAGAGUAAACAGUUAGCAGUCUGCAUGGGACAACAGCCAUUUUGCUUUUUUGCAUUUCUUUUCCAUGGGGAUGGUCUUG
Molecule: long non-coding RNA, 787 nt
Filed under: Capra hircus (goat)
Lineage: Eukaryota; Metazoa; Chordata; Mammalia; Artiodactyla; Bovidae
Description: lncRNA (ENSCHIG00010009487.1)
Source: RNAcentral